RNAcentral lists this ribosomal RNA (497 nucleotides) under uncultured bacterium. Its description in RNAcentral is "partial 16S ribosomal RNA". It matches the Rfam family "Bacterial small subunit ribosomal RNA", at positions 28 to 507 of the family's 1533-position model. The record is from RNAcentral.
GAUGAACGCUGGCGGCGUGCCUAAUACAUGCCAGUCGAGCGAACGGACGAGAAGCUUGCUUCUCUGAUGUUAGCGGCGGACGGGUGAGUAACACGUGGAUAACCUACCUAUAAGACUGGGAUAACUUCGGGAAACCGGAGCUAAUACCGGAUAAUAUUUUGAACCGCAUGGUUCAAAAGUGAAAGACGGUCUUGCUGUCACUUAUAGAUGGAUCCGCGCUGCAUUAGCUAGUUGGUAAGGUAACGGCUUACCAAGGCAACGAUGCAUAGCCGACCUGCGAGGGUGAUCGGCCACACUGGAACUGAGACACGGUCCAGAGUCCUACGGGAGGCAGCAGUAGGGAAUCUUCCGCAAUGGGCGAAAGCCUGACGGAGCAACGCCGCGUGAGUGAUGAAGGUCUUCGGAUCGUAAAACUCUGUUAUUAGGGAAGAACAUAUGUGUAAGUAACUGUGCACAUCUUGACGGUACCUAAUCAGAAAGCCACGGCUAACUACGUG